CUAGCGACUUCAGAGUUUGAUCCUGGCUCAGGAUGAACGCUGGCGGCGUGCUUAACACAUGCAAGUCGAACGGAACUGCAUAUGAAGAUUUACUUCGGUAAUGAUUCGCUUGUAGUUUAGUGGCGGACGGGUGAGUAACGCGUGAGUAACCUGCCCUUGAGAGGGGGAUAACGUUCUGAAAAGGACGCUAAUACCGCAUAAUACUAUUGAAUCGCAUGGUUUAAUAGUCAAAACUGAGGUGCUCAGGGAUGGACUCGCGUCCGAUUAGAUAGUUGGUGAGGUAACGGCUCACCAAGUCGACGAUCGGUAGCCGGACUGAGAGGUUGAACGGCCACAUUGGGACUGAGACACGGCCCAG
RNAcentral lists this ribosomal RNA (358 nucleotides) under uncultured bacterium. RNAcentral's name for it is "bacterial SSU rRNA". It matches the Rfam family "Bacterial small subunit ribosomal RNA", at positions 1 to 334 of the family's 1533-position model. The record is from RNAcentral.